GACGAACGCCGGCGGCGUGCUUAACACAUGCAAGUCGAACGGAAAGGCCCUGCUUGCAGGGUACUCGAGUGGCGAACGGGUGAGUAACACGUGGGUGAUCUGCCCUGCACUUCGGGAUAAGCUUGGGAAACUGGGUCUAAUACCGGAUAGGACCGCACUUUAGUGUGUGUGGUGGAAAGUUUUUUCGGUGUAGGAUGAGCUCGCGGCCUAUCAGCUUGUUGGUGGGGUAAUGGCCUACCAAGGCGGCGACGGGUAGCCGGCCUGAGAGGGUGUACGGCCACAUUGGGACUGAGAUACGGCCCAGACUCCUACGGGAGGCAGCAGUGGGGAAUAUUGCACAAUGGGCGCAAGCCUGAUGCAGCGACGCCGCGUGGGGGAUGAAGGCCUUCGGGUUGUAAACUCCUUUCGCUAGGGACGAAGCUUUUUGUGACGGUACCUAGAUAAGAAGCACCGGCUAACUACGUGCCAGCAGCCGCGGUAAUACGUAGGGUGCGAGCGUUGUCCGGAAUUACUGGGCGUAAAGGGCUCGUAGGUGGUUUGUCGCGUCGUCUGUGAAAUUCUGGGGCUUAACUCCGGGCGUGCAGGCGAUACGGGCAUAACUUGAGUGCUGUAGGGGUAACUGGAAUUCCUGGU
RNAcentral lists this ribosomal RNA (633 nucleotides) under uncultured bacterium. RNAcentral's name for it is "bacterial SSU rRNA". It matches the Rfam family "Bacterial small subunit ribosomal RNA", at positions 28 to 674 of the family's 1533-position model. The record is from RNAcentral.